Molecule: ribosomal RNA, 460 nt
Filed under: uncultured bacterium
Lineage: Bacteria
Description: partial 16S ribosomal RNA
Rfam family: Bacterial small subunit ribosomal RNA
Source: RNAcentral
CCUACGGGUGGCAGCAGUGAGGAAUAUUGGACAAUGGACGGAAGUCUGAACCAGCCAUGCCGCGUGCAGGAAGACGGCUCUAUGAGUUGUAAGCUGCUUUUGUACAAGGGUAAACCUGAAUACGUGUAUUCAGCUGACAGUACUGUACGAAUAAGGAUCGGCUAACUCCGUGCCAGCAGCCGCGGUAAUACGGAGGAUCCAAGCGUUAUCCGGAUUUAUUGGGUUUAAAGGGUGCGUAGGCGGAUUGGUAAGUUAGAGGUGAAAUGUCCGAGCUUAACUCGGGAACUGCCUCUAAUACUGCUGAGCUAGAGAGUAGAUGCGGUAGGCGGAAUGUAUGGUGUAGCGGUGAAAUGCUUAGAGAUCAUACAGAACACCGAUUGCGAAGGCAGCUUACCAAUCUAUAUCUGACGUUGAGGCACGAAAGCGUGGGGAGCAAACAGGAUUAGAUACCCCAGUAGUC